RNAcentral lists this ribosomal RNA (276 nucleotides) under Clostridioides difficile. RNAcentral's name for it is "partial 16S ribosomal RNA". It matches the Rfam family "Bacterial small subunit ribosomal RNA", at positions 383 to 677 of the family's 1533-position model. The record is from RNAcentral. Lineage: Bacteria; Bacillati; Bacillota; Clostridia; Peptostreptococcales; Peptostreptococcaceae.
CUGAUGCAGCAACGCCGCGUGAGUGAUGAAGGCCUUCGGGUCGUAAAACUCUGUCCUCAAGGAAGAUAAUGACGGUACUUGAGGAGGAAGCCCCGGCUAACUACGUGCCAGCAGCCGCGGUAAUACGGAGGGGGCUAGCGUUAUCCGGAUUUACUGGGCGUAAAGGGUGCGUAGGCGGUCUUUCAAGUCAGGAGUGAAAGGCUACGGCUCAACCGUAGUAAGCUCUUGAAACUGGGAGACUUGAGUGCAGGAGAGGAGAGUGGAAUUCCUAGUGUA